This 425-nucleotide ribosomal RNA is filed under the name uncultured bacterium. RNAcentral describes it as "partial 16S ribosomal RNA". It matches the Rfam family "Bacterial small subunit ribosomal RNA", at positions 354 to 796 of the family's 1533-position model. The record is from RNAcentral.
GUUAGGAAUAUUGGACAAUGGGCGCAAGCCUGAUCCAGCCAUGCCGCGUGAGUGAUGAAGGCCUUCGGGUUGUAAAGCUCUUUAGCCGAUGAUUAUAAUGACUGUAGUCGGAAAAUAAGCCCCGGCUAACUUCGUGCCAGCAGCCGCGGUAAUACGAAGGGGGCGAGCGUUAUUCGGAAUCACUGGGCGUAAAGCGUGCGUAGGCGGCUUUGCAAGUUGGGAGUGAAAGCCCAGGGCUCAACCCUGGAAUUGCUCUCAAAACUGCAAGGCUCGAAUUCGGGAUAGGAUAGCGGAAUUGUCAGUGUAGCAGUGAAAUGCGUAGAUAUUGACAGGAACACCAGUGGCGUAAGCGGCUAUCUGGACCGAUAUUGACGCUGAGGCACGAAAGCGUGGGGAUCAAACAGGAUUAGAUACCCGGGUAGUCC